GGGCGUGAAACCGCUUAGAAUAAAACGGACGGAGCCGUCAGGAGCUUUCGAGACUCAGUCGACUUAGUAAGCGAAAGUGCGCGCGUUCGGAGAGCAUAAAUAAGUCUCCGUCGUCGUAUCUAGUAUGCUGAUAGUCGGCGCAUUUCUCGAGAGUAAGCAUCGCAACCGAUACGAAAGGCUAGCGAGGCGUUCGGAUUGAGGUCUAAUAUCUUCGGUUAAACGGAGACGUUAGUUGCCAGUCCGUUCGCGCUUUAAUCGCUAGAUCGCAGUAUGUAUCGAGCGCCAAUAAAAAAUACGUUGACCAUAAAGGUUCGUCCGAGCGACGGAUAGUCGGUUAGUUCCCAAAUGGUUGGUUACCUGCUCGCAGGUGCUAGCUAACUUAAUCGACUCUAGAAAUCGUCGGCGACACAUUAACGUAUAGGCGUUAGCGGUGUCAGCGUCGGUCACCCGUCCGACCCGUCUUGAAACACGGACCAAGGAGUCUAACAUAUGCGCGAGUCAAUAGGUGGAAAACCUAAAGGCGCAAUAAA
RNAcentral lists this ribosomal RNA (530 nucleotides) under Nordiidae sp. 1 MP-2015. RNAcentral describes it as "partial 28S ribosomal RNA". It matches the Rfam family "Eukaryotic large subunit ribosomal RNA", at positions 395 to 723 of the family's 3401-position model. Lineage: Eukaryota; Metazoa; Nematoda; Enoplea; Dorylaimida; Nordiidae. The record is from RNAcentral.